CACUUCCAUCGAUGGAUGCCCAGACCAGCAGACCAGGCAGACCUGCUGGGCCACCAAUUCCCCCAUCCCAAAUCAAACCUCCCACCAUAGGCAGACUAGUGCUGGCUGGCUGGCUUCUUUUAGCUCGGCUACUGUCAGUUCAUCCAUGGCAGGUCUGGCGAGAACAGAGGAGUGGAAUUAAAGAGGGCAUGUGGGUGGAUCCAGGUAGUGGAGUGUGGGCAAGCAGUGCUCCCAAGGCCAUUCUAGUCUGCUCAGAAACGACCCACUGACUGCACACCUCUCUAGCUAGCAGCACAUUGGUACCGUGUGCGAGGCAGACUACAUGAAAUGUAGUGUUGUGAUUCACUAACGGAAGACCUAUCAAAGUAAGUGGGUAGAGGUCUGGAGUGGGUCAGGGGUGGUGUCUAAGGCUACACAUGAACAAUCAAUGCUAGAAAACAUCGAGUCUUUAUCCGGAAUUGGAUGGUUCAAGGCGUGAGUUAAUCACGUUUCCUCUGCUUGGACCAGGGCAAAUAUAACAUGCUAUAGUCCAUUGUAGCAAACAUUUAAUGUUUAUAAUAAUACAUAUUAGCCAAACGUUUCAAUGAAGACAAAUGCGGCUGGCCGGUCAAGACACAGAAAGGGGUCAAAUCAAAAUGUGUGACAUUGUAGAAAACUAGGCCUACUUGCGAAAAAAAGCUAAUAGCUUGCUAGUAACUUUCGAUGCCAGUUGAUACUUCGUAAACAUGUUUGUGUGAAUAAUUAUUUGAGCCGCUUAAAACAAUAACCAUACAACAAUAACAUGGUUAAUUUUUACCUAAUUUCCACCGGAGGAGGCAGGACUUUGAAGUUUCUUGCUAGUGAGCUGUUUUUUGGUAACUUUCGAGAUAAGUACAGCAGGCAAGUGUCAUCAGCAUUUACCGUUCCUGCCAACUGGCGCUAAUCCAGAUCAAUCACUAGCUGCUUUGGGAAAAAUAUGUUUCACUUGGACCAGAAAAAUAAAUUAAUGGAAAUUGACAUCAUUGACAAUGUAAUGUAGUCUGAAUUUUCAACACACCUUUUUUCCAUGCUUGUUCCAGUGAGGCACAGUGACUGCAUUCAUAUUCUCCCUAUUUCCAAGACCCCUCCAACAUGCAUUCACCUCUCCUUUGAAAAGACAAACAGGACACAGCGGGAGGUUGCCCUGUCAAGGUCUCCGCUUCCACACUCCCCUCCAACGGCGGCUGUGAGACAGGGUCACGGAUGACACCGAUCGGCCCGCCUGCCAGACGUGACAGCACAGCUGGUCGCCUAAUGACAGAGGGGCCCUGCCCGGCGCACACCUGCCCAUCGUGGGCAGGGCAGGCGACCUUGUGAGCCGCGAUGCAACGCUGGACGGGCAGAUGUUCCGGCAGAGAGGAGGAGAACGAGACGGACUCACUACAGGGACCCCUGUCUCCGGUUCUCUCCUCAGCUGUAAUUGAAAAUCGUGUAAAAGGUCAGCUGUGUUCUGAGAACGCUCGGCUGUCCCUGCCUGGUCGUGCCUUUCAAGCGGAAACGCGACAACAAAAGCUCGGCGCGUGACAGCUUUUGCCUCAGCUACUGCGCGUUAAAAAUAUGUAAGAACAUAUGCCAUAAUGGCCAUAUAAUGACAAUAUCUGUAAACAUUUGCGCCAGCAUAAAUCUGCAUAGUCAAGUGGGUGUGGCCCAUCUGUCAGAGGCCUUGCCUAGGGGUCCCGGAGAAAGCCCUAAUCAUUGGGUCCAUUACUGAGACAUUGUUAUGACAUUGGGUCUCUGAGUUGAGGAUGACUGCAUGCGGUUGGGGCCUGGAAGUGAUAAACGUUACGGGUGAUUUAAAAUGUGGGGGAAUUCUGGACCAAUACAAUAGUAACCCUAUCCAUGCUGCUGCUGUGUAGUGGGAACCAUUGCCUUGCUGUCCUGAAUACUUUAGUCAGUCAGAGUGACCUUUGGGCCCAAGUCUCUCCCUGAUGAGGGGUGGCUGAGUUCUAGGUUCUAACCCCCCCCCCCACACCCAAAUACAUUUUCUCUGUUCAUGGUUCCUUUAAACGGAACCAGCAUCGGACCUGUCAGACACCAUCAGCUUCCCCGAGGAAGGAGAGACUGGCUGGGCCUUCAGUCGGAACAGGAAGAUCCAAACAGACUAUAAAAUCGUCCUGGAAUACCAAGUCUGGUGAUCUGAGGUAAACAUUUGAUUGGAGGCCACUUCGUGGUCCAUUCGAAAUAUGAACGUGUACUUUGAGAAAUAUAGGAAUUCUGACAGUGCGUUCCAAUAGGUUCUUUCUUUAUUUCGCUCGGGUUAAAAGGUAAUGUUUCUGGGGAGUUGGUUUUGCUGGGGGAAAAAAGUAUCAGAGGAGAUAUGGUUUCGGGACAACGCAGUCAGAACUAAAUUGAAGACAUACACUGUCGACGGUGACAUCUCAUUUUGGUUUCAUUUCAAUAAUGCAUGAGGUUUGAAAAGACAUUAGGCUAAAUGAGGAACACAUGACGCUAACACUCAGACAUGUGGUUCGGGAGUGUGGGUGGGGGGGGGGUUUGUUCGUAAUAAAAACAAGUGCUGUGACUCGAGCGCAGAGCGCAAACAGGAAGGAAACAAUCCCGUCCAUAAACUCUCCCCAAAUGAGUCUGUUAUCAAUAACACUUGUGUCUAGUGGAGAAACAGAAUGUUGCCGGAUUUCACAAUGUGUGUUUUUGGUUUGACUGCCGUAGACUUUGCCAAUAACAAUGUUACCCACAAUCACUAUCCAAACCACACAGCCUUGGCAUCGUAGUCUGUCACAAAUUAUGUUUUGGUUCUGACCGAAUGCAACAGCUUCCUGUCUCGUUCUGGUUUCUCUUACAGUCUCGGCCAAAGACAAAGCAAAGGACAGCAGGUUUUUUUUCACUGUAGCAGUGAAGGAAAUGCACAUUAGAAACAGUUGGAGUGAUGACAAUUGUGAAACGCAGGGUUAUAUAUCUUUUUUCAUGUUUUAUAAAAAUGUAAAUAAAGCCAUUGCCAUAUCUGACAAUGGACAUCCCGGGUUUAUCAUUACACAUUGACCCAAGAACCACUAAUGUACCAACCUUCUGAUAAAAACUGGUGUUGUCUAUGGCUAUGGUAUCACUUAUGUUUGCUGGAGCCCUCUUUUACUGUGUUUGUGACUUCUUCUGUGUGUGGAGAAAGGCAGAGGGUUGGUACCCGCUGGUGAGUGUGUUCGCACGGCUCAGAUUGCACAUUACAAAGGGAAGACAGCUUCUGGGCUUGCUGAACUUUUGCUUGUUAUCAGGAGCUGGGAGAGAGAUGGAGAGAAUUGAUCUUUUGUCUGCUGGAGGUGCACUCCCCUGGGCCGGACCAGCCCCCCCCCCUCCCUCCUUCCCUCCCUCUCUGCCUCCCUCUUUCUCAUUCUCUCCAUCCUCCCUGCUCCCUCUUUUUCUCUUCUUCAUUCUUCUCUUUUAUUUUCUCCUCUUUCCAUCCCUCUCUCCUUCCGCCCCACUCCUUCUAUCUCAUUCCCCCGCGCCCAGUCUCCGU
Esox lucius (northern pike) is the source of this 3484-nucleotide long non-coding RNA. NCBI's taxonomy places the organism in Eukaryota, Metazoa, Chordata, Actinopteri, Esociformes, Esocidae. The record is from Ensembl.